Apis cerana (Asiatic honeybee) is the source of this 2971-nucleotide long non-coding RNA. RefSeq lists it as uncharacterized. The record is from RefSeq and is a predicted model, not a curated record. Lineage: Eukaryota; Metazoa; Arthropoda; Insecta; Hymenoptera; Apidae.
UUUACUUGGAAAUUUAUCUUUCGUCCAAAAAUCGAUCGAUAAUCGAAUCAUCCUCUGUGAAAAUUUCAAAUGGAUGGAAUGAAAAUUUAUUUGGAAAUUCAUCUUUCGAAAAUCGAUUGAUAAUCGAAUCAUUCCCUGUAAAGAAUUUAAAUGAUGGAAUUAGAAUUUCUUGCCCAAAAAUCGAUUGAUAAUCGAAUCAUUCCCUCUGAAAAUUUCAAACGUUGGAAUGAAAAUUUAUUUGGAAAUUUUUCGUCCAAAAAUCGAUUGAUAAUCCCUUGUGAAGAUUUCAAAUGAUGGAAUGAAAAUUUUUUAAACAAAUAAAAGAAGAAUUGGAUUAUUCCCUAUGAAGGUUUCAAAUAAUAGAACAAGAAAUUUGCUAUGUUUCGUAAACAAGGUCAAAUAAGACUCGUGUUUAUGCGAACUUUUUUCAUUGUUUUCGAGUAGUGAAUCAAUGGUUGGCAUGGAUCCCACAUAUGAUAUAUAUCAUUUCUUGUAUACACGUUUUGCUUCCCCGAGUAAAGAAUGACGCAACUGCAGAAUUGCAAAUUUUUAAAUAAACGUGCCAUUCACCGUAAAAACAUCCAAUUUAAAAAAAAAAAUAAUCUUAACAACAAAAUUGUAUCAUCAAAUUCUAUAUAUUUUAAUCAUAAUAACCUUUUUAAUUUCAAAAGGAGAAAAAAAAAUCAUCGUAAUAUUCAAAACUAUAUUAUUAAAUUUUCAUUUUUAAAUAAAAAACUUUCAUUCCAUCACAUCUUAUUUUUAUUCCCAAUCAAUAUUUUCAAUACCGCCAACCGUCUGCCAACAUCCAUCACAUUUCUCAGAACUAAUAACACACAUUUAAUUUUCUCUUGAAUUGAAAAAUCAUCUUCACCAGAGAAUCUUUCAAUAAUUCGAAAUACACCGACUAAAUAUAUCAUCCUACUCGACGAUCACAACCGUGUGCUUUUCAAAGUAACACUCUGCCUUACAUAUAACAGUAUCCUGUAUCAGUAUAACAGUAUCAGUAACAUAUAUAAUAAUAAUACUUCCCUGAAAAUACGAUUUAAUACGGUGAAAAACCUGGAUCAACAUCAACCAAUCAACUCUCCUCAAACUCUCUCCAUCUCUCUCUAACCAAUAAUUUCGAUCGAUUAAUUUCCACGAAGAAAAAGAAAAAGAAGAAGAAACGAUCGAUUUCCCCCGAUCUUCCAUUAUUCCAUUUUCCAUUCCUUCGCGCUACCUUCCGAAUCAAAUCAAAGAAAAGAGAAAGAGAGAAAUAGAGAGAGAAAGAGAAAGAGAAAGAGGGAGAGAGGAUUAAUUCCUUGGAAGCAAGUUUGUUUCACGGGUAUUCCCCUGCGUGGGAACAACACGAGUCGAGCAAAAGGAGAGGGAGAGGGGGGAUGGAGGGGAGAAUGAUCGAAAGGAGAAAAUUGCGAGAUGUCGAGGAUGAUUGAUUAUUUUUCCUUCGGUUAUCCGGUUUCGAGGCGAAAAGGAGAAAGAGCAAGGGGAGGGGAGGAGGCGGGGAUGAAGGUGUAUUAUUAUACAAGGGUAAGGAGGAGGGAAUGUGUCAAAGAAAACGUUGUCGUGGAUAAAUAUACAUCUGAAAUAAUAACGACAACCGAGCGUCUGUCUUCUCCAGGGAGCUACGAGAAAGAAGGAGAAAGGGAGAGAGAGAGUUGUAUUUAGUUAGGGAAAGAGAGAUCGGAGUUAAUUGCGAUAUCAUUAUGAAAAUCGGUGACGUAUAACGCCUGUCCUAGUUCGCGUUCGACGCGAAAAUACACCACGUACAAUAAUAUAGCGCUAUAACGUUUGACCGAGUUAACGUGCGCGCGCAAGAGAGAGAGAGAGAGAGAGAGAGAGAGAGAGAUAAAUGUGUAUCUUUAUGAAAAAUAUUUCGUUCGGAUCGACGUCGCGAUGAUCGAGAGGUUUACUUCGUCGUAAAGUUUCGUGUGGAUUCGUGGAUGAAAUGGUAAAGGGCGAUACGAUGCACAAUUGAUAUUUUUUUCCGCUCGAACGUUUCGAUAAUUAAUGCGUUGAGGUUAUGCUCAUAUAUUCGUGCUAAAUAUCUUAUUCGUUAUGGAUUUGAAAUGAUAGAAAGACGUCGCGAUUAUUAAUAUUUUGAGAGAAGAAUCGUAAGAAACCGAUUUCGAUUUGAAAAUGUAAUGAUAAAAAGGAUGAUUAAUAUUUUGGAAGAAUCGUGACGUUUCGAUAAUUUUUGAAGUUGUGAUCGAUACUUGUGCUAAAUAUUUUGUUAUACAAGUUAAUUUGAAUUUGAGAAUGAAAUAAAAAGAAUAUUGUGAUUAAUAUUUUGGAAUAUUUGAAACUUGUGUUGAAUACAAAUAUGUUGUACAAUGUUGAUUUCAUUGUAUAUGAUAUGAUUUUGAGGAUAAAAUGACAAAAAGGAUGUUUUCGAUAAUUAUUUUUUGAGAUUAUGGACGUGUUAUUAAUAUUUAUAUUGUACACAAUUUAUAAUUUGACUUGAGAGGAGAAAAGAAUGUUGUCAUUAAUAUUUCGGAAGAAUCAUGAGAAUGUUUCAAUAAUUUUUGAGGUUAUAUGCGAUAUUUGUGUUAAAUAUUUUAAGUUACACGUUAAUUUCGUGGAUUUGAUAUGGAUUCGAGGAUGAGAUGAUAAAUAUAUUGGAAUAUCGCACGAACGUUUCGAUAAUUAUCCGUUGAGGUUACGCGCGAUAUUUGUGCUAAAUAUUUUAUGUUAUAUGUUAAUUGGAUUUGAUACGGAUUCGAGGAUGAGAUGAUAAAUAUAUUGGAAUAUCGCGCGAACAUUUUGAUAAUUAUGUGGCUAUAUUUGUGCAAAAUAUUUUAUAUUAUAUGUUAAUUUCGUGGAUUUAAUAUGGUUUUUGGGAUGAAAUGAUAAAAGGAUAUUGCAACAAAUAAUGUGACGAAUUGAGGUUAUGUGUGAUAAAUAUCUCAUAUGUGUGGAAGCAUAUGUUAUUUAAUUGAGAAAAAAAUUUGAUUAAAUUCUAUGUAUAAUUUUA